Molecule: ribosomal RNA, 253 nt
Filed under: uncultured bacterium
Lineage: Bacteria
Description: partial 16S ribosomal RNA
Rfam family: Bacterial small subunit ribosomal RNA
Source: RNAcentral
UACGUAGGGGGCGAGCGUUGUCCGGAGUUACUGGGCGUAAAGCGCUUGUAGGCGGUCCACCAAGUUUGGGGUGACAGUUAUCGACUUAAUCGGCAAAGUGCCUCAAAGACUGGCGGACUUGAGGGCCACAGAGGGACAUGGAACUCCAGGUGUAGUGGUGAAAUGCGUAGAUAUCUGGAAGAACACCAAAGGCGAAGGCAGUGUCCUGGGUGGUCGCUGACGCUGAGAGGCGAAAGCCAGGGGAGCGAACGGG